GAUGAACGCUGGCGGCGUGCCUAAUACAUGCAAGUCGAGCGAACAGACGAGGAGCUUGCUCCUCUGACGUUAGCGGCGGACGGGUGAGUAACACGUGGAUAACCUACCUAUAAGACUGGGAUAACUUCGGGAAACCGGAGCUAAUACCGGAUAAUAUAUUGAACCGCAUGGUUCAAUAGUGAAAGACGGUUUUGCUGUCACUUAUAGAUGGAUCCGCGCCGCAUUAGCUAGUUGGCAGGGUAACGGCUUACCAAGGCAACGAUGCGUAGCCGACCUGAGAGGGUGAUAGGCCACACUGGAACUGAGACACGGUCCAGACUCCUACGGGAGGCAGCAGUAGGGAAUCUUCCGCAAUGGGCGAAAGCCUGACGGAGCAACGCCGCGUGAGUGAUGAAGGUCUUCGGAUCGUAAAACUCUGUUAUUAGGGAAGAACAAAUGUGUAAGUAACUAUGCACGUCUUGACGGUACCUAAUCAGAAAGCCACGGCUAACUACGUG
This 497-nucleotide ribosomal RNA is filed under the name uncultured bacterium. Its description in RNAcentral is "partial 16S ribosomal RNA". It matches the Rfam family "Bacterial small subunit ribosomal RNA", at positions 28 to 507 of the family's 1533-position model. The record is from RNAcentral.